RNAcentral lists this ribosomal RNA (388 nucleotides) under uncultured eukaryote. RNAcentral's name for it is "partial 18S ribosomal RNA". It matches the Rfam family "Eukaryotic small subunit ribosomal RNA", at positions 592 to 976 of the family's 1831-position model. The record is from RNAcentral.
CAAUAGCGUAUAUUAAAGUUGUUGCAGUUAAAAAGCUCGUAGUUGGAUUUCUGAUCGAGACAUCAGGUCGGGUCCGAGAGGAUCAUGUACUUUGAUUUUGUUUUGAUCAUCCUUGGGGAGAGCAUUUCUGGCAUUCAGUUGUCGGGAUUGGGAUCCUCAUCGUUUACUGUGAAAAAAUUAGAGUGUUCAAAGCAGGCCUCGGCCUCUGAAUACAUUAGCAUGGAAUAAUAAGAUAGGACUUUGGUGGUCUAUUUCGUUGGUUUGCACGCCAAAGUAAUGAUUAAUAGGGAUAGUUGGGGGUAUUCGUAUUCAAUUGUCAGAGGUGAAAUUCUUGGAUUUAUGGAAGACGAACUACUGCGAAAGCAUUUACCAAGGAUGUUUUCAUUAA